RNAcentral lists this long non-coding RNA (501 nucleotides) under Pan troglodytes (chimpanzee). RNAcentral's name for it is "long non-coding RNA NONPTRT016164". The record is from RNAcentral. Lineage: Eukaryota; Metazoa; Chordata; Mammalia; Primates; Hominidae.
CAAAGCAGUGCUCCCCAUAGGCCAGGCUUCUUGCACAGGACAGCCUGCCCUUCUGGGCUGGCCCUGCUUAUUCUCCACAUAGCUUUCUCAGUUCCUACCUAGAAGUACAGCGUGGAAGAGGACAGCCUGGGUCAUGGGUCUCAGAAGUUUUAAGCAUAUAUGGAAAAUGCGCCCCUGCCAAGAGUGAUUGCCGGGCACCCUUGACUGUGUGUCUUAUCUGUAUUUCAGAGAUGCUAAAAUGAAAAGCUCUAUGGAUAAGCAAAACACAAGACAUAUUGCAAAAAGGCAGGCUUUUGGACUCAGACUGGAACUACACCACUAGCUUUCUUGGGUCUCCAGCUUGCUACUGUAUACCUCUGGAUUUUUCAGCCUUCAUGAGGUGAGCCAAUCUCUGAAGAAGCUUGACUAAUACACGAGGUAAAUUGCAAACUCCUUUGCAACUUUUUCCUACGUGUUCUUAGUUUGCCUUCAUGCCUUGAUAACCACCAAAAAACCCCACAA